AGAGCGAACGCUGGCGGCAUGCUUAACACAUGCAAGUCGCACGGUCAGGUUUCGGCCUGGUAGUGGCGGACGGGUGAGUAACGCGUAGGUAUCUAUCCGAAGGUGGGGGAUAACGGCGGGAAACUGCUGCUAAUACCGCAUAUGACCUGAGGGUCAAAGGUCGCAAGACCGCCUGUGGAGGAGCCUGCGUACGAUUAGCUUGUUGGUGGGGUAAAGGCCUACCAAGGCGACGAUCGUUAGCUGGUCUGAGAGGAUGAUCAGCCACAUUGGGACUGAGACACGGCCCAAACUCCUACGGGAGGCAGCAGUGGGGAAUAUUGGACAAUGGGGGCAACCCUGAUCCAGCAAUGCCGCGUGUGUGAAGAAGGUCUUCGGAUUGUAAAGCACUUUCGACGGGGACGAUGAUGACGGUACCCGUAUAAGAAGCCCCGGCUAACUUCGCGCCAGCAGCCGC
This 454-nucleotide ribosomal RNA is filed under the name uncultured bacterium. RNAcentral describes it as "SSU rRNA". It matches the Rfam family "Bacterial small subunit ribosomal RNA", at positions 26 to 518 of the family's 1533-position model. The record is from RNAcentral.